AUACUUACCUGGCAGGGGAGAUACCAUGAUCACGAAGGUGGUUUUGCCAGGGCGAGGCUUAUCCAUUGCACUCCGGAUGUGCUGACCCCUGCGAUUUCCCCAAAUGUGGGAAACUCGACUGCAUAAUUUGUGGUAGUGGGGGACUGCGUCCGCGCUUUCCCCUG
This is a small nuclear RNA of Pan troglodytes (chimpanzee), 164 nucleotides long. Its record names the gene U1. It matches the Rfam family "U1 spliceosomal RNA". Rfam says of the family: U1 is a small nuclear RNA (snRNA) component of the spliceosome (involved in pre-mRNA splicing). Its 5' end forms complementary base pairs with the 5' splice junction, thus defining the 5' donor site of an intron. There are significant differences in sequence and secondary structure between metazoan and yeast U1 snRNAs, the latter being much longer (568 nucleotides as compared to 164 nucleotides in human). The record is from Ensembl. Lineage: Eukaryota; Metazoa; Chordata; Mammalia; Primates; Hominidae.